Molecule: ribosomal RNA, 768 nt
Filed under: uncultured Actinomyces sp.
Lineage: Bacteria; Bacillati; Actinomycetota; Actinomycetes; Actinomycetales; Actinomycetaceae
Description: bacterial SSU rRNA
Rfam family: Bacterial small subunit ribosomal RNA
Source: RNAcentral
GACGAACGCUGGCGGCGUGCUUAACACAUGCAAGUCGAACGGUGAAGGGAUCAGCUUGCUGGUUCUGGAUGAGUGGCGAACGGGUGAGUAACACGUGAGUAACCUGCCCCCUUCUUCUGGAUAACCGCAUGAAAGUGUGGCUAAUACGGGAUAUUCUGGGUCUGUCGCAUGGCGGGCCCGGGAAAGAUGCGCCUUUGGGUGUUUUUGGUGGGGGAUGGGCUCGCGGCCUAUCAGCUUGUUGGUGGGGUGAUGGCCUACCAAGGCGGUGACGGGUAGCCGGCCUGAGAGGGUGGACGGUCACACUGGGACUGAGACACGGCCCAGACUCCUACGGGAGGCAGCAGUGGGGAAUAUUGCACAAUGGGCGCAAGCCUGAUGCAGCGACGCCGCGUGAGGGAUGGAGGCCUUCGGGUUGUAAACCUCUUUCGCCAGUGAAGCAGGCCUGCUCCUUGUGGGUGGGUUGACGGUAGCUGGAUAAGAAGCGCCGGCUAACUACGUGCCAGCAGCCGCGGUAAUACGUAGGGCGCGAGCGUUGUCCGGAAUUAUUGGGCGUAAAGAGCUCGUAGGCGGCUGGUCGCGUCUGUCGUGAAAUCCUCUGGCUUAACUGGGGGCUUGCGGUGGGUACGGGCCGGCUUGAGUGCGGUAGGGGAGACUGGAACUCCUGGUGUAGCGGUGGAAUGCGCAGAUAUCAGGAAGAACACCGGUGGCGAAGGCGGGUCUCUGGGCCGUUACUGACGCUGAGGAGCGAAAGCGUGGGGAGCGAACAGG